This 489-nucleotide ribosomal RNA is filed under the name Triticum aestivum (bread wheat). Its description in RNAcentral is "partial small subunit ribosomal RNA". The record is from RNAcentral. Lineage: Eukaryota; Viridiplantae; Streptophyta; Magnoliopsida; Poales; Poaceae.
AUGCGAACGAAGAUGGCUCUCAAAACACCAGGAAUAAUAUGUUGCCACUUGCCACCACUUCAGAGGAAAACAGGAGGUUCUGGUUCUAUUGCUGCUCUUAAGGAACCUGUUGGUCCACUGUCUACGGGUGCUCGUGGUUCUGGUUGGUUCGUCCAGCUAUGUCUUCGGCACCGCUCUACAGGUCGACCCUUUCUCUCCUUCUAUUCUCAGCUCUCGAGGCACGUGCUUGUGUUCUUGCAGCCAUAUAUCUUCCGUGUGCACUUAUUGGUAGAAGCCUGGCAUCUAAAAGUAUCAUUGUUUGCUUGUAAAACUGCAGUAGGCAUCAUUCUUGUUUUUUGCAGAACUGAAUUUACUAGCACCAUUUUGCAUCUUGACAUUACUGUACAAAUUCCCACCUGCUCCCCUGUUUCUUGGUCAAAACUGAAUGUUGACAGAGUUUUGGUCAAAACAUUAGAUGAUGUGAGCUUUUUCAGCUAUCCAAAGUUUUAA